Long non-coding RNA from Chelmon rostratus (copperband butterflyfish), 303 nucleotides. RefSeq lists it as uncharacterized. Lineage: Eukaryota; Metazoa; Chordata; Actinopteri; Chaetodontiformes; Chaetodontidae. The transcript is spliced from 3 exons. The record is from RefSeq and is a predicted model, not a curated record.
GAAAACUUAAAAACAUGAAAAUUCUCAGGCGAGUUCUGGAGUUACGCGGAGCGUCUGUGGUUUCUUAAGGAUGUUUAUUCGCGAUAUAUCGGAGAUAAUGACAUCCUCUGAAAACGGAUUUGCAUGAAGAGGUGAGGCCAGAAGAAGACAGCUGCAUGCUCCCAGGGGUUUCUCAUUAUCCCCGGAUUAAUGGAGGAAUUCAAGAGGAUCACAGCUGCAGCUCCAUGACGGACUACAAAGAUCCAAGGUAAAACGAUGGAUGCUCUCUUCCUGAUUCAAAUUUAACCUUUAAACUUAUCUUAA